GAUGAACGCUGGCGGCGUGCUUAACACAUGCAAGUCGAACGGAAAGGCUCCUGCCUGCCGGGGUACUCGAGUGGCGAACGGGUGAGUAACACGUGGGUGAUCUGCCCUGUACUUCGGGAUAAGCUUGGGAAACUGGGUCUAAUACCGGAUAUGACAAUCUCUUGGGUGGGGUUGUAGAAAGCUUUUGCGGUAUGGGAUGAGCUCGCGGCCUAUCAGCUUGGUGGUGGGGUAAUGGCCUACCAAGGCGUCGACGGGUAGCCGGCCUGAGAGGGUGUACGGCCACAUUGGGCCUGCGAUACGGCCCAGACUCCUACGGGAGGCAGCAGUGGGGAAUAUUGCACAAUGGGCGCAAGCCUGAUGCAGCGACGCCGCGUGGGGGAUGACGGCCUUCGGGUUGUAAACUCCUUUCGCAACCGACGAAGCUUUUGUGACGGUAGGUUGAGAAGAAGCACCGGCUAACUACGUG
RNAcentral lists this ribosomal RNA (466 nucleotides) under uncultured bacterium. RNAcentral describes it as "partial 16S ribosomal RNA". It matches the Rfam family "Bacterial small subunit ribosomal RNA", at positions 28 to 507 of the family's 1533-position model. The record is from RNAcentral.